RNAcentral lists this unclassified non-coding RNA (1374 nucleotides) under Hevea brasiliensis (rubber tree). Lineage: Eukaryota; Viridiplantae; Streptophyta; Magnoliopsida; Malpighiales; Euphorbiaceae. The record is from RNAcentral.
ACGACGACGACGAUGAUGAUGACGGUGAUGGUGAUGGUUAUGGAAAUCUGGGAGAUGUUAGUGGAGAUGCCACUGGAGAAGAUUCCGGGGUAGAUUAUGUUUCAGAAGCUCAUGAUCUGAAUUCAUUCGAUGGUAGCAGGCUUGAUGCUGUUGUUAAGCAUGUUGACAAUAAUGCAGGAAGCAGUGGGGAAGAUUUCACUGUUCAAGACGACUCAUGCAUGUCGUUUGAGUUCCAAGCUGAUAAGUUUGAAUCUUGUGAUCCCGUAGAUACUGGUGUUGCUUUGCAAUUGAGUGGGGUUAAGGGUGAUGACAGGGAAUGCUUGCCUAGUAACAGGGAUGAAUACAGUGUUGUUGCGGAUCAGCUGUACUUAACGGAUCAUUGUGAUGCUAAGCCUUGGGAUGCCCAUUACACAGUUCCAAUGAAAGGUGUUGAUCUUCUUCCUACAUGUAACAUCAUAGAAGAAAUUUUUGGGGAUGGAACUUCCAAUGAGUAGAUAAAAAAUAACUGUGGCAGCAGCUAGUGCCUUUCUAAGGUCCACAAGCAUGCCUUGAUGUACAGUGUGUCUGGCCUUUGUGUUGGAUCCUGGGAAUUUUCUAUCUAAGCACACCAUGCAAGAAUUUUUAUUUCUCGAGUAUAGGUGGUUUUUUACUUUUAUUUAUUAAAGUAGGAGGAAGGAAAAGGGGGAUUAUAAAAAAAAAAAAAGCAGAUUUCGGUUUUGGAUUUUGUUCAUGUACAUUCAUAUGUGGAAUUUAACAUUUUGAGAAUUUCGUUAUAAAGCUCCCAUUUUUGUCAUUUAUGACUUAAGCUGCUUUCCCGGGCAUAAAGCAUGGGCUUUUGGAAUGAAUGCAUCUAAUCCUGAGCAGGAAGCAUCAUUCCACAAUAUCUUGUCCUCAUCAUUAUACCCACUUAGCUGGCCAUCUUAAAUGCACAGAGAGUAAUCACUUGGGAGGCCAGAGUGGUUCAGAGAUGGUCUUAUUUCAACCUGGUAUGCUGUUAUGUGCUUGGUUGUUGUGGACUAGGUAGCAUUUGGCUGUGCAUUGCAGCUGCAAUCCCUGAUUACAAUUCUUCAGUGUAGUGUCUGUGUUGCCUUGUGUGGUCCAAAUUCAGUGGUUGGCAGUGGCAGGAAUUGGCAGAGCUGGCACUAAUCUUUGGUUUGAGGUUAGCGAAAAAAAUACUAACAAGGCAGUGUAAGGAUACAGAUGAAGGUGAGUACGCAAGUAGUAAAGUAAAAUGAUACCUCAUGUAACUAAAAAUCCAACGAUUAUUAUUGGCAAUUCGUGUUAUUAUUGAGUUAAUUGAUGUGAUACUAUUCAAGUGUUCAUCAACCAUAGUUUUGUCUGCCACAACAGCCUGCUCAUGUGACCCUUUUCUUU